UGCCCUAUGGGUUGUAAACUGCUUUUAUAUAGGAAGAAACCUUGGUACGUGUACCAAGCCGACGGUACUAUAAGAAUAAGGAUCGGCUAACUCCGUGCCAGCAGCCGCGGUAAUACGGAGGAUCCAAGCGUUAUCCGGAAUCAUUGGGCUUAAAGGGUCCGUAGGUGGAUAAUUAAGUCAGAGGUGAAAUCUUGCAGCUCAACUGUAAAAUUGCCUUUGAUACUGGUUAUCUUGAGUUAUUAUGAAGUAGUUAGAAUAUGUAGUGUAGCGGUGAAAUGCAUAGAUAUUACAUAGAAUACCAAUUGCGAAGGCAGAUUACUAAUAAUCAACUGACACUGAUGGACGAAAGCGUGGGUAGCGAACAGGAUUAGAUACCCUGGUAGUCCACGCCGUAAACGAUGGUUACUAGCUGUUUGGACCUUGUGUCUGAGUGGCUAAGCGAAAGUGAUAAGUAACCCACCUGGGGAGUACGUUCGCAAGAAUGAAACUCAAAGGAAUUGACGGGGGCCCGCACAAGCGGUGGAGCAUGUGGUUUAAUUCGAUGAUACGCGAGGAACCUUACCAGGGCUUAAAUGUAAGUUGCAUUAGUUAGAGAUAGCUAUUUCUUCGGACCACUUACAAGGUGCUGCAUGGUUGUCGUCAGCUCGUGCCGUGAGGUGUCAGGUUAAGUCCUAUAACGAGCGCAACCCCUGUUGUUAGUUGCCAGCGAGUCAUGUCGGGAACUCUAACAAGACUGCCAGUGCAAACUGUGAGGAAGGUGGGGAUGACGUCAAAUCAUCACGGCCCUUACGUCCUGGGCUACACACGUGCUACAGUGGUCGGUACAGAGAGCAGCCACUACGCGAGUAGGAGCGAAUCUUAAAAGCCGAUCACAGUUCGGAUCGGAGUCUGCAACUCGACUCCGUGAAGCUGGAAUCGCUAGUAAUCGGAUAUCAGCCAUGAUCCGGUGAAUACGUUCCCGGGCCUUGUACACACCGCCCGUCAAGCCAUGGAAGUUGGGAGUGCCUGAAGUCCGUUACCGUAAGGAGCGGCCUAGGGUAAAAUCGAUAACUAGGGCUAAGUCGUAACAAGGUAGCCGUACCGGAAGGUGCGGCUGGAACACCUCCUUUCC
This 1111-nucleotide ribosomal RNA is filed under the name uncultured Flavobacteriaceae bacterium. RNAcentral's name for it is "bacterial SSU rRNA". It matches the Rfam family "Bacterial small subunit ribosomal RNA", at positions 412 to 1533 of the family's 1533-position model. The record is from RNAcentral. Lineage: Bacteria; Pseudomonadati; Bacteroidota; Flavobacteriia; Flavobacteriales; Flavobacteriaceae.